UAAGCUUGUAAAUUUGAAAAUAUUAAGAAGCUGCGUUAUUUGGAUGUGGUAGAUGUAAAUGCAAAUAAUCACAAAACUAACAAAACUCUUUGAUAAAUGGGUGUUUCUUGUCCGUAAGUUCAUCCACACCAAAAAUGUAAUGGACAGCUCGCAGCUUUUUUUU
RNAcentral lists this non-coding RNA (163 nucleotides) under Pseudanteris insignis. Lineage: Eukaryota; Metazoa; Arthropoda; Insecta; Hymenoptera; Scelionidae. The record is from RNAcentral.